UGGGGAAUCUUGCGCAAUGGGCGAAAGCCUGACGCAGCGACGCCGCGUGGGUGAUGAAGGCCUUCGGGUUGUAAAGCCCUGUGGAGAGGGACGAAUAAGUUCGACCUAAUACGUCGGGCGAUGACGGUACCUCUUUAGCAAGCACCGGCUAACUCUGUGCCAGCAGCCGCGGUAAGACAGAGGGUGCAAACGUUGUUCGGAAUUACUGGGCGUAAAGCGCGUGUAGGCGGUCGUGCAAGUCGGGUGUGAAAGCCCAGGGCUCAACCCUGGAAGUGCAUUGGAUACUGCAUGGCUAGAGUCCCGGAGAGGAUGGUGGAACUCUCGGUGUAGAGGUGAAAUUCGUAGAUAUCGAGAAGAACACCGGUGGCGAAGGCGGCCAUCUGGACGGUGACUGACGCUGAGACGCGAAAGCGUGGGGAGCAAACA
This 426-nucleotide ribosomal RNA is filed under the name uncultured bacterium. RNAcentral describes it as "bacterial SSU rRNA". It matches the Rfam family "Bacterial small subunit ribosomal RNA", at positions 355 to 774 of the family's 1533-position model. The record is from RNAcentral.